This 484-nucleotide ribosomal RNA is filed under the name uncultured bacterium. RNAcentral describes it as "partial 16S ribosomal RNA". It matches the Rfam family "Bacterial small subunit ribosomal RNA", at positions 28 to 507 of the family's 1533-position model. The record is from RNAcentral.
AUUGAACGCUGGCGGCAUGCUUUACACAUGCAAGUCGAACGGCAGCGCGGGCUUCGGCCUGGCGGCGAGUGGCGAACGGGUGAGUAAUGCAUCGGAACGUGCCCAGUAGUGGGGGAUAGCCCGGCGAAAGCCGGAUUAAUACCGCAUACGACCUGAGGGUGAAACCGGGGGACCGAAAGGCCUCGCGCUAUUGGACCGGCCGAUGUCGGAUUAGCUAGUUGGUGGGGUAAAGGCUUACCAAGGCGACGAUCCGUAGCUGGUCUGAGAGGACGACCAGCCACACUGGGACUGAGACACGGCCCAGACUCCUACGGGAGGCAGCAGUGGGGAAUUUUGGACAAUGGGGGCAACCCUGAUCCAGCCAUGCCGCGUGCGGGAAGAAGGCCUUCGGGUUGUAAACCGCUUUUGUUCGGGAAGAAAUCCUCUGGGCUAAUACCCCGGGGGGAUGACGGUACCGGAAGAAUAAGCACCGGCUAACUACGUG